RNAcentral lists this ribosomal RNA (140 nucleotides) under uncultured bacterium. RNAcentral describes it as "partial 16S ribosomal RNA". It matches the Rfam family "Bacterial small subunit ribosomal RNA", at positions 355 to 509 of the family's 1533-position model. The record is from RNAcentral.
UGGGGAAUAUUGGACAAUGGGGGGAACCCUGAUCCAGCGACGCCGCGUGAGUGAAGAAGUAUUUCGGUAUGUAAAGCUCUAUCAGCAGGGAAGAAAGAAAUGACGGUACCUGACUAAGAAGCCCCGGCUAACUACGUGCC